GCAGGUGCAUGAAUUUUAAUGAAGGGGAAUGAUGGCAGGUCUGAGUUUGAGGAGGGUGAUCACCAACAUUCAGGGUAUCUUGGGCCAGUGCUUUGCGUAGGACAAAACACCAGGUUCGUCUUUGCCAGCCACAUUUAUCCUCAUGAAGGACUGGAGACAGCACGACUGGUAAUUUCUGCAGUAGAAGUAGGUAUGCUCUAUCUUCCUGCAAGCGGUCCUGCAGACGCCCAUGCUACCCAUGCAUCGAAGGAGGGAAUGUCUUCCUGGACAAAAUAUAAAAUAACAUGACAGUGAUAAUUAAUUUCCACUUGGCAGUGACAUAGAUCUGAUGGGUCCGGGAGCAUCAUAAAAACCUAAAGGUUGACAGAGACUUCCACUUCCAGAAAAACAGUGCCAAAGUCAUUUUCUCUACUUGUCUUCUUAAAACCCUGGGCAUUAUACAUAAAUAUAAGAAUCCUCUGAAAGGUAAAGAGAAGAAGUCAAGCCAGGCAGGGACCUCAAGAUCUGAGGAACGAUCUCUUAGGUUUGAUUUUGCCUCUUAUAUUCUAGGAUGGUGCUGGAGAAGCUGGCAAUCUGGAAAUACAUGUGGGUGCAGAGAUUUUUUUAAAAAGAAGAAGAAGAAGUCCCUAAGAAAAUUCUGCUCUUUCUAGUCCAAAGACCAGGAAAAGGGCAGCCUAGCAAAACAGAACGUUUUAGACAGUAGCCUCUUUGCUCAAAAAACACAGAAAAGUCUACAGCCCCAUUCAUACCUCUAGUAAAUAUGGCCAAGUGGAGAGCUUAGACUUCCGCCCUUUCUAGAGUGAAAAGAAGCGCUNUGUGGUGAUUAUUAAAAUAUAAAUAACUUGUCACUCUGUAGGUUUUCCACCAAUACAAAAAGUACAACUGUUAUUGUGUAAACAUCAGUUAAAAAGGGUGUGGGGCGCAGGGUAAAUAGAAAAUACUGCUGAUAAUGGUGAGAAAACCAAAUGUGGAGAGGUUAAACUUUAUUCCCAUUUUAUUUUAUUAACAAAAUAAUCUAUUCAGAUAUAAUUCCAAUGACAAAAUUUUAACUUAUUUGAAGUAUACAAUUCAGUAGUUUUUAGGGUAUUCACAAGGAUGUACAACCAUUACCACAGUCUAAUUUUAGAAUAUUUCAUUCCCAUAAAAGAAACCCCAUUAGCAGUAAUUUUAUACUCCUUUCCCAAUUUGGCCCCUAUCAACCUCUAAUCUACUUUCUAUUCCUAUGGAUUUGCCUAUUUCAGAUAUUUCACAUAAAUAGAAUCACACAAUAUGUAUUCUUUUGUGACUGGCUUCUUGGCAUAACGCUUUCAAGGUUUGUCCAUGUCACAACAUCUAUCUAUCAGUACUUCGUUUCUUUUUAUGGUUGACUAAUAUUCUACUGUAUGGAUAUACCACAUUUUGUUCAUUCAUUCACCUCUAAUUGUUCAUUUGGCUAUUAUGAAAGAUGCUUACAUAAAUACUUCUGUACAGGUGAAAAAAUAAAUAAACCACUUAAGUACCAAAACUUCUAGCUGAGACUACAUGAGGACAGGUUUAAGGUUGUAAAUUUUCAAUGGAGUUUUUCUUUUUUUUAAACUGUAUACCCAGCACCAAAUUCAAAGCCAGAUAACAUCUUGUAAAGAAGGACCAUGUAGCUGGUUUAUCCUUUCACAGCAGAUGUAACACUUUCAGGACUGAGACCUAUGUCAGAGUCUCCUACUAGACACAUUUUUUUCAAACCCCAGGCAACAUCUCCUUUCCGGUGCCCUCACCUCCCUGCUCAAAGUCCAAACCUCAGGUUCACCUGAUGCACCAAAUGCCUCCAAGACAAAGUUGGGAUUCAGGGACUGCCUUCAGAAGAGUGCCUGCCUUCACCUGGCCUUAAUAUUCUUCAUCUUGUUUUCUUGCAAGGUCAAGAUGCUCAAGAAGUUUUAUUGUAUAUUUAACCAGUUUUAUUGUAUAUUUUAUUUUAUCGUAAGUUUUAUCAUAUAUUUUAAAUUGUUUUCAGUGAGAAGUUCAGCCCAGGUUCUUAGACCUACAUUUUCCCCCACACAGAUUCGGAACUAGCAUCUUUCUCCAGAUCCUAAGCUUUGUUGGGUGAAGUUCUGGGUGGCAGCAUCAAAGGAAGGAGAAAAGGAGGUAAUCCUCAAAGGAUGAACCCACCACUCAAUGUCUAAACCCAAGAUGCUGAAACGGCCACUUCCUUAAAUACAGGAGAACGGUGCUGGCCAGGCACAAGCUCUGUUUGCAGAGCACGGUGUUGAGCUUACGUCGCAUUUGGAAGGAGCAUUUGGGGGACCUGUAUUGGUUACAGAUGUGAAAAUGGGUUGGUGACACUGUGUACCCUGAAGCGAGCUCUACUGAUUGCAAAGUCAUUUCAAAACAUAAUACUGCCGGGCGCAGGGGACAGGGUUUGGGGCGGGGAGCACACCUGUAAUCCCAGUGGCUUGGGAGGCUGAAGAAGGAGGACUACGAGUUCAAAACCAGCCUCAGGAAUAGUGAGGUGCUAAACAGCUCAGUGAGACCCUGUCUCUAAAAACAAUUCAAAAUAGGGCAGGAGAUGUGGCUCAGUGGUUGAGUGCCCCUGAGUUCAAUCCCCAGUACCUUCCCCACCCCCCGCAAAAAAAAAAAAAGCGAUUGUGAUGAAUUCUGAAGAAUCAGAAAAGUAGAGAAAGAUAAUGAGCGAAGUGUGGCUUUGAAAAUGUAGAACUCAACAGGAAGAAAGAAAGAAGAUUAGUGGAAGAUAAGACUUAAAAAGCAAAAUUAGAACUUUUGGUUGAAACGCUAACAUUGGUUGUCACGGUGGGUAAUAGCCUCCUAGAUUUUUUAGGACUUAAAGGAUUUCCGCAGUCACCAAUGACAACCGCAUGUAAUAUUCAAAUUCCUCAGUGAUAACCAACAAACAAACCCCCAACCUCACAACCUGAAACUUUGACAGGACAGUUUAUCCCACAUUACAUUGGCUCUCUCUUAGUUCCAUAAACUGAGCCCAAAUUUGUCCACGAGAUUUCCACCUACUGCCUUACCACCCAUCCCACGAGUCCCAGUGCCCUCUGAGUCCUGGCUCGGCUGCACCCUUCAACCGUCCCUUAUUGAUCUCAGCUUCAUUCUCCCCCUCCCCCUGCCCACCUUCACUACCUGGUCCAGGUGCUAUCUCACAGAGCUGAGUCCAGAAGGGACAGACAGCUCACCACACAAAGCUCAAGUCCCUUGCUGAGAAUUCCCACGGAGGAAAGACAGACCACGGUGGCAGGUGCAUGAAUUUUAAUGAAGGGGAAUGAUGGCAGGUCUGAGUUUGAGGAGGGUGAUCACCAACAUUCAGGGUAUCUUGGGCCAGUGCUUUGCGUAGGACAAAACACCAGGUUCGUCUUUGCCAGCCACAUUUAUCCUCAUGAAGGACUGGAGACAGCACGACUGGUAAUUUCUGCAGUAGAAGUAGGUAUGCUCUAUCUUCCUGCAAGCGGUCCUGCAGACGCCCAUGCUACCCAUGCAUCGAAGGAGGGAAUGUCUUCCUGGACAAAAUAUAAAAUAACAUGACAGUGAUAAUUAAUUUCCACUUGGCAGUGACAUAGAUCUGAUGGGUCCGGGAGCAUCAUAAAAACCUAAAGGUUGACAGAGACUUCCACUUCCAGAAAAACAGUGCCAAAGUCAUUUUCUCUACUUGUCUUCUUAAAACCCUGGGCAUUAUACAUAAAUAUAAGAAUCCUCUGAAAGGUAAAGAGAAGAAGUCAAGCCAGGCAGGGACCUCAAGAUCUGAGGAACGAUCUCUUAGGUUUGAUUUUGCCUCUUAUAUUCUAGGAUGGUGCUGGAGAAGCUGGCAAUCUGGAAAUACAUGUGGGUGCAGAGAUUUUUUUAAAAAGAAGAAGAAGAAGUCCCUAAGAAAAUUCUGCUCUUUCUAGUCCAAAGACCAGGAAAAGGGCAGCCUAGCAAAACAGAACGUUUUAGACAGUAGCCUCUUUGCUCAAAAAACACAGAAAAGUCUACAGCCCCAUUCAUACCUCUAGUAAAUAUGGCCAAGUGGAGAGCUUAGACUUCCGCCCUUUCUAGAGUGAAAAGAAGCGCUGCCUCCGAGGAGGUAGCUGAGAAACCUGAGUGACAGCCUGGACCUUGACCCCUGCUGUGCAGUAACCU
RNAcentral lists this long non-coding RNA (4110 nucleotides) under Marmota monax (woodchuck). The record is from RNAcentral. Lineage: Eukaryota; Metazoa; Chordata; Mammalia; Rodentia; Sciuridae.